CAAAGGAAGGAAAGACAAACAACUCUCAUUGGUCGUUUAAAAUGCUGAUCGUGGCGCCCCGUCCGGCAGUAGACGGAACUAAUUGUGUGAAAUAGCGCUAUAGUAGAAAAAGAUGGAAUAUGUUUUCGCCAUAACAUAACCUAAAUUCCAAAUUUCCUUUUGUUUUCAGAUUCAGUUGUAUUUUCAGAUGAAUCUAAAGUCAUAAGUCAAGUUUUCGCCAAUGUUUUCUAGUAUUUUCAAAUAAUUUGUUGUGAUUUUAAUGCAUACAUGGGUUUAUAUACUGCAGUGAAUACAUCAAUUUUAUCAACAAGUUUCAUCAGAUAAAAAGACAAACAUCUUUCUUUGAGUUGAGGCACGGAUUAUAUUGUAAUAUUUUGAUUUGAAUAUGAAUUUUGUGCAGCAAUCUUGGAGUUUAGAAGUAGAUAGGAGCUACUAUAUCUUCAUUCCAUUAGAUCCUUUAGGUUUACGUGUAAGGGUUAUGUGAAUCAGAUGGCUUAUGCUGGAGUUCUGCCAAUGAAUCGAAGAAUCCAAUUCAUUAUGUACAGUCUUCAAAUUGGACGUUCUUUUGUUCAAUAAUUUGGUAAUAUAUACAGAAGAAUAUCUUAUUUGACAUAACUGAAUUGUUUCAUUACCUCUUGUUGGAAAAAUCAAUAUGUAUUAUAAUGUGUAAUAAAAAGUAUAUCAUUA
Coccinella septempunctata (seven-spotted ladybird) is the source of this 687-nucleotide long non-coding RNA. RefSeq lists it as uncharacterized. The transcript is spliced from 2 exons. Lineage: Eukaryota; Metazoa; Arthropoda; Insecta; Coleoptera; Coccinellidae. The record is from RefSeq and is a predicted model, not a curated record.